Molecule: ribosomal RNA, 263 nt
Filed under: uncultured bacterium
Lineage: Bacteria
Description: partial 16S ribosomal RNA
Source: RNAcentral
CUGCUGCCUUCCGUAGGAGUCUGGGCCGUGUCUCAGUCCCGGUGUGGCCGUCCGCCCUCUCAGGCCGGCUACUGAUCGUCGCUUUGGUAGGCCGUUACCCUGCCAACUGGCUAAUCAGACGCGGGCCCAUCCUGUACCACCGGAGUUUUCAGGGAAAAGCCAUGCGGCUUCCCCCGUUAUGCGGUAUUAGCACCUAUUUCUAAGUGUUAUCCCCCUGUACAGGCCAGGUUGCCCACGCGUUACUCACCCGUCCGCCACUCAUG